GUCCAUUUCCGUGGGACAGCAGCAGCAGCGUGGAAAGUUUUGAUUAUUCAAGGUGAAGCCACGGGAGUUAUCAGAGCAUGCUGACACGGUGUUUGCAGGACUGGAGGGAAGCCAGGACACCUGGACUGUGAGAGCUCUCCCCCUCAACGCGGAACACCAGGGACUUCAGAGGAAGAGCUGUAGAACCAUCACCUGUUGUAACCAGAUUGGUGGCUAUGAACUACCUGCUUUUGAGGUGAUUUUUAAAAUUUAUCAUAUAAUUUCCUAGUGGAAUAACUGUGCCUGGGGUGUUGAA
RNAcentral lists this long non-coding RNA (295 nucleotides) under Chinchilla lanigera (long-tailed chinchilla). Its description in RNAcentral is "lncRNA (ENSCLAG00000024045.1)". The record is from RNAcentral. Lineage: Eukaryota; Metazoa; Chordata; Mammalia; Rodentia; Chinchillidae.